GAUGAACGCUGGCGGCGUGCCUAAUACAUGCAAGUCGAACGAAACUUCUUUAUCACCGAGUGCUUGCACUCACCGAUAAAGAGUUGAGUGGCGAACGGGUGAGUAACACGUGGGCAACCUGCCCAAAAGAGGGGGAUAACACUUGGAAACAGGUGCUAAUACCGCAUAACCAUAGUUACCGCAUGGUAACUAUGUAAAAGGUGGCUAUACUACCGCUUUUGGAUGGGCCCGCGGCGCAUUAGCUAGUUGGUAGGGUAAAGGCUUACCAAGGCAAUGAUGCGUAGCCGAAUUGAGAGGUUGAUCGGCCACAUUGGAACUAAGACACGGCCCAAACUCCUACGGGAGGCAGCAGUAGGGAAUCUUCCGCAAUGGGCGAAAGCCUGAUGGAGCAACGCCGCGUGGGUGAAGAAGGUCUUCGGAUCGUAAAACCCUGUUGUUAGAGAAGAAAGUGCGUGAGAGUAACUGUUCACGUUUCGACGGUAUCUAACCAGAAAGCCACGGCUAACUACGUG
RNAcentral lists this ribosomal RNA (512 nucleotides) under uncultured bacterium. RNAcentral describes it as "partial 16S ribosomal RNA". It matches the Rfam family "Bacterial small subunit ribosomal RNA", at positions 28 to 507 of the family's 1533-position model. The record is from RNAcentral.